UACGGAGGAUGCGAGCGUUAUCCGGAUUUAUUGGGUUUAAAGGGUGCGUAGGCGGUUUUUUAAGUUAGUGGUUAAACGUCGGGGCUUCACCUUGAUUUGCCAUUAAUACUGUAAGACUCGAGUUCAGACGAGGUAGGCGGAAUAAGUUAAGUAGCGGUGAAAUGCAUAGAUAUAACUUAGAACACCGAUAGCGAAGGCAGCUUACCAGACUGAGUCUGACGCUGAUGCACGAAAGCGUGGGUAUCAAACAGG
RNAcentral lists this ribosomal RNA (252 nucleotides) under uncultured Odoribacter sp. RNAcentral describes it as "partial 16S ribosomal RNA". It matches the Rfam family "Bacterial small subunit ribosomal RNA", at positions 524 to 776 of the family's 1533-position model. Lineage: Bacteria; Pseudomonadati; Bacteroidota; Bacteroidia; Bacteroidales; Odoribacteraceae. The record is from RNAcentral.